AGAUACAAAGGCAAUUUGGCUGCACCAUCUGUCACCCCACUGAUCGCUGUGGUUGAUUUGGCUCAUCUGGCUGGCUAGGUGAGUGUCCCCUUCCUCCCUCACUGCUCCAUGUGCAUCCCUCCUGAAGCUGUGCACUUGGUCAAGGAGGACAACCUUCCCCUAACAGAGAAGGAUCAAUCAGUCAAGGGUAUAGGAGUAGCUGUACUUCCCUGCUAGAACCUCCAAGCAAAACUUUUAAGGACAGCACUUUUAUAAAGGUAUGCAAAGGAAGGAAAAACAAGGUAGUUUUGGUCACACCCUUACCUUACAUAGCUAUUUAAGUAGUAUCUCUAUGAGUGUAAGUGUAU
Neotoma lepida (desert woodrat) is the source of this 347-nucleotide non-coding RNA. It matches the Rfam family "7SK RNA". Rfam says of the family: 7SK was discovered as an abundant small nuclear RNA in the mid-70s but a possible function has only recently been suggested. Two independent studies have found that 7SK RNA binds the CDK9/cyclin T complex (known as elongation factor P-TEFb). The record is from Rfam. Lineage: Eukaryota; Metazoa; Chordata; Mammalia; Rodentia; Cricetidae.